GCUUAACACAUGCAAGUCGAACGAUGAAGCCCCUCGGGGUGGAUUAGUGGCGAACGGGUGAGUAACACGUGGGCAAUCUGCCCUUCACUCUGGGACAAGCCCUGGAAACGGGGUCUAAUACCGGAUAACACCGGCUUCCGCAUGGGAGCCGGUUGAAAGCUCCGGCGGUGAAGGAUGAGCCCGCGGCCUAUCAGCUUGUUGGUGGGGUAAUGGCCUACCAAGGCGACGACGGGUAGCCGGCCUGAGAGGGCGACCGGCCACACUGGGACUGAGACACGGCCCAGACUCCUACGGGAGGCAGCAGUGGGGAAUAUUGCACAAUGGGCGAAAGCCUGAUGCAGCGACGCCGCGUGAGGGAUGACGGCCUUCGGGUUGUAAACCUCUUUCAGCAGGGAAGAAGCGAAAGUGACGGUACCUGCAGAAGAAGCGCCGGCUAACUACGUGCCAGCAGCCGCGGUAAUACGUAGGGCGCAAGCGUUGUCCGGAAUUAUUGGGCGUAAAGAGCUCGUAGGCGGCUUGUCACGUCGGGUGUGAAAGCCCGGGGCUUAACCCCGGGUCUGCAUCCGAUACGGGCAGGCUAGAGUGUGGUAGGGGAGAUCGGAAUUCCUGGUGUAGCGGUGAAAUGCGCAGAUAUCAGGAGGAACACCGGUGGCGAAGGCGGAUCUCUGGGCCAUU
RNAcentral lists this ribosomal RNA (675 nucleotides) under uncultured Actinomycetes bacterium. RNAcentral describes it as "bacterial SSU rRNA". It matches the Rfam family "Bacterial small subunit ribosomal RNA", at positions 46 to 738 of the family's 1533-position model. The record is from RNAcentral. Lineage: Bacteria; Bacillati; Actinomycetota; Actinomycetes.